This 500-nucleotide ribosomal RNA is filed under the name uncultured bacterium. Its description in RNAcentral is "partial 16S ribosomal RNA". It matches the Rfam family "Bacterial small subunit ribosomal RNA", at positions 30 to 523 of the family's 1533-position model. The record is from RNAcentral.
AUUGAACGCUGGCGGAAUGCUUUACACAUGCAAGUCGAACGGCAGCACGGACUUCGGUCUGGUGGCGAGUGGCGAACGGGUGAGUAAUGUAUCGGAACGUGCCCAGUCGUGGGGGAUAACGUAGUGAAAAUUACGCUAAUACCGCAUACGAUCUAUGGAUGAAAGCGGGGGAUCGCAAAACCUCGCGCGAUUGGAACGGCCGAUCACAGAUUAGGUAGUUGGUGGGGUAAAGGGCCACCAAGCCAACGAUCGGUAGGUGGUCUGGGAGGACGACCAGCCACACUGGGACUGAGACACGGUCCAGACUCCAACGGGAGGCAGCAGUGGGGAAUUUUGGACAAUGGGCGAAAGCCUGAUCCAGCCAUUCCGCGUGCAGGAUGAAGGCCCUCGGGUUGUAAACUGCUUUUGUACAGAACGAAAAGGUUUCUACUAAUACUAGGAGCUCAUGACGGUACUGUAAGAAUAAGCACCGGCUAGCUACGUGCCAGCCGCCGCGGUAA